Molecule: unclassified non-coding RNA, 971 nt
Filed under: Hevea brasiliensis (rubber tree)
Lineage: Eukaryota; Viridiplantae; Streptophyta; Magnoliopsida; Malpighiales; Euphorbiaceae
Source: RNAcentral
UUUUAAGUUUUCUUGCUUUUGUUCAUGCAACAUGGAAAUUAUGUUUCCAUUAUUAUUUAUGUUGUUAUUGUUGACAAUGAAUUGGAUAGUAGUUCUAAUUUGCUGUGAAGGAGGUGAUAGUGGUUAUUCCUCUGCUGUCGGAGAUCCGGGAAUGAGAAGAGAUGGACUCAGAGUAGGUUUAGAAGCUUGGAAUUUCUGUAAUGAAGUUGGUGAAGAAGCUACUGGAAUGGGUAGCCCUAGAGCUGCUGAUUGCUUUGAUAUUUCUGGGAGUUCAUUGAGUCACAAGGUAACUGAGUCUGAUAAUAAGCUUGGUGUUGGGAAGUCAUUUCCGGGGUUGAGUCUUAAGGCUAAGAACGAUCCUGAUUUGUAUGCUGCUGAGAAGGAAUUAUAUCUAGGUUCAUUGUGUGAAGUUGAUGAUACCCCAAGGCCAUGGCAAUUUUGGAUGAUAAUGUUGAAGAACGGAAACUACGACUCGAAAUCUGGUCUUUGUCCAGAGAAUGGGAAAAGAGUUCCCCCUUUUAAGCCGGGAAGAUUUCCGUGUUUUGGGAAGGGAUGUAUGAAUCAGCCUAUACUGUUUCAUCAGCCUACUUAUUUAUCUGAUGAUGAAACUAUGAUGGGAGGUUUUAAUGGUACUUAUGAUUUGGCUUCUACAGCUGGUAGUAGUAGUAGUAGUUCCUUUUUUGAGGUAGUUUGGGAGAAGAAAAUUGGCAAAGGGGGUUGGGUAUUUAAGCACAAACUCAGAACAUCCAAAUUGUAUCCAUGGCUGAUGUUGUAUCUUCGGGCUGAUGCGACUAAAGGGUUCUCUGGAGGCUACCACUAUGAUACCAGAGGAAUGUUAAAAAUUCUGCCAGAGUCACCUAAUUUUAAGGUCAAAUUGACCUUGGAUGUCAAGGUAGGCGGAGGACCCAAGAGUCAGUUUUACUUGAUAGAUAUUGGCAGUUGCUGGAAGAACAAUGGUGAUCCAUGUGAUG